UGUUAAUACCCGCGCGGUAUUUAACUUAAAAAUUCUCCCAGGUCAGAAAUGAAGCAAGAGUAAUUAGGAAGAGUAGGUGCGCGGGCCUUUUACUAAAA
This 98-nucleotide signal recognition particle RNA is filed under the name Candidatus Servula neotermitis. RNAcentral's name for it is "signal recognition particle sRNA small type". It matches the Rfam family "Bacterial small signal recognition particle RNA". Rfam says of the family: The signal recognition particle (SRP) is a universally conserved ribonucleoprotein involved in the co-translational targeting of proteins to membranes. Archaeal SRP consists of a 7S RNA and homologues of the eukaryotic SRP19 and SRP54 proteins. Lineage: Bacteria; Bacillati; Actinomycetota; Actinomycetes; Bifidobacteriales; Bifidobacteriaceae. The record is from RNAcentral.